CACGUAGUUAGCCGGUGCUUCUUUACCCAUUACCGUCACUCACGCUUCGUCACAGGCGAAAGCGGUUUACAACCCGAAGGCCGUCAUCCCGCACGCGGCGUUGCUGCAUCAGGCUUCCGCCCAUUGUGCGAUAUUCCCCACUGCUGCCUCCCGUAGGAGUCUGGGCCGUAUCUCAGUCCCAAUGUGGCCGGUCACCCUCUCAGGCCGGCUACCCGUCAAAGCCUUGGUAAGCCACUACCCCACCAACAAGCUGAUAAGCCGCGAGUCCAUCCCCAACCGCCGAAACUUUCCAACCCCCACCAUGCAGCAGGAGCUCCUAUCCGGUAUUAGCCCCAGUUUCCUGAAGUUAUCCCAAAGUCAAGGGCAGGUUACUCACGUGUUACUCACCCGUUCGCCACUCGAGCACCCCACAAAAGCAGGGCCUUUCCGUCGACUUGCAUGUGUUAAGCACGCCGCCAGCCGUUCGUCCUGAGCCAGGAUCAAACUCU
RNAcentral lists this ribosomal RNA (488 nucleotides) under uncultured Propionibacterium sp. RNAcentral's name for it is "partial 16S ribosomal RNA". Lineage: Bacteria; Bacillati; Actinomycetota; Actinomycetes; Propionibacteriales; Propionibacteriaceae. The record is from RNAcentral.